AAUUGCCUGUCAAACAAAGCAUAAAGAGACAAAAGGCAGAAACACUGUUUCAGCUUGAAUGCCUUAAUGUCACCAUUUGUCAUGCAGCAGUUCUUCAGCAAACCCCGAAGUACAGUUAACUCUACUCCUCCUUACACUGCACACUUUCUCCUGCGUUGGUACUACAGGAUUAAAAUGUGCAGGGCCUGACAAUGAAACAGCAGAGCCAUCGCACAUUGUUAUGCAACUCACUGUCUGCAAGGGUGGUUUGUAGCUCCUUCUUUAUUCAGCAAGUGCCAACUGCAUGUUUAAUCAAUGUCACAGCUCACCACAGUGUGCAACUAAAGCCACUGUCAUUCCUCUCUUCAGAUUUGCCUGGCUAAGUUAUGCAAUGCUCCGAAGAAUACCUUGGAAUUCUUUCCGGAGGCUCUGAAUGCAGGUGUGUGGCAGCGUUCACACAACUGCCAGUGAAGCAGACUUCUUUUCAUCCUUUUUCAGACUGGACUAAAAUUACAUAGUGUGACUGCUCGCAGUUCGCUGCAUUUGGAAUUACAGCGUGUCAACGUGAGAAAGCCUCUUCAGACGGCUGCCACAGAGUAAAUCAAAGGCUGGCUUUUUCUGAAGUCUUAAUAAAUAACUAAGUACAACUGAACAAACCCAGCAGCUGUUUGGGGUUUUUUUUUGUGGGGUUUGAUUUUUUUCUCCCCAAAACAAAACCGAACAGCAUGCAUCAAACUGCUCUGCAUCAUCUAAGGAAAAAAAAAAAUCCUCAGUUAUAGUAAGAAUUAGUCAACAGUGAGGAUCAUUACCAGAAAGGGGUUUACUGUUUUUCGACUACACUUGCUUUAGUGGAUUACCGAGAGAGAAGGCCAGUCAUUUGGAAGAUUCUAUAACAUUAUUAUCCUCACCGAUAAACUUCAUCAAGGAACUGUUCAUGCUCCUGUCUGGUCUGUCUGCGUGAGGAGAGCAGCCUCUUCAUGAAGAUAAAAGCCUGGUUUGCCACUGAAUCAACGAGUAAGAAGCAUGUCUGAUGACAUUUUAUUCCUGAUGCAAUGUAGGCUAGCUGCCAGAAUACUGGUGAAGGUAUUUGCAGGAAAAAUGGGGACCUCUGCCAUCACAACGCUGGAAGAUGUAAAAAGGCAAGAAGAGAAAGAGGAAAAAGAAGAAUCUAUUUUAGCCCUGCUUGGGAUUAUUGGAACUGUGCUCAAUUUAUUUGUUAUUGUUUUUGUGUACAUCUACACCACACUUUGAUGACAUUUUUGAACAUCAAUUGCACAGCACACGUGCAAAGACCAGCGAUGGUAAGAAUGAAUUUUAAAUAUUUAAAACAAAACCCCACCACUGUCUGAAAAGAUUAUCAAAACCAUUCCAGAGCAAAGUGUGUGUCUAAGGGCGCUGCUUCAGUGACUGCUACACGCAUCUGCGAGCCCAGCUAGGGUGCUAAAUUACGUAAAUGAAGGCAGAUGAUAUUCAACUUCUCAUUGAUAACAGAUGAAAUCCAAAUAACAGAAACAGAGAUGGAACUGUUUGAUUGUCAGCAAACAAGCAAGAAAUGUAAGCACUGAAAGCAAUGAAAACAUAGAAAGAGAUGAAUCAAAUAUAUAAGUACAAAUAAGCAAGCCCCAUGAUGCUUUCUAUGGUUUUGUGCAACAUGUCUCUUCAUAGCUGAGACCAGAAAAUGGACAAAAAGGUUUUCUUUUUAGAUUACUAUAAUUUUGGCUCAUAAUUUACACUGAUGUAUAAUAAGUGUGGAAACAAGAAUACUGUUACACCAAAAACUGUAAUAUUACAAAUAAAAUUUUAACUAUUGACUAUAUUCCAUAGCAUUUUUAUUAGUCUUGUGGAAAGCUAAAGGUUAGAUUUUCUUGUCUUUCCCGAAUCUGUAUUUGAAACCAUCAUGCUAUAUUGACAAUGUGCUUUCCUAAUUAAAAAUCCUUUAAAGUGCUGUGAAAAAAUAAAGAAUAGUUUCAGUA
Molecule: long non-coding RNA, 1952 nt
Organism: Neopsephotus bourkii (Bourke's parrot)
Lineage: Eukaryota; Metazoa; Chordata; Aves; Psittaciformes; Psittacidae
Exons: 2
Source: RefSeq, a predicted model, not a curated record